Podarcis muralis (Common wall lizard) is the source of this 3544-nucleotide RNA transcript. It is a transcript of the gene named transcription factor 7, with no coding region annotated. The record is from RefSeq and is a predicted model, not a curated record. Lineage: Eukaryota; Metazoa; Chordata; Lepidosauria; Squamata; Lacertidae.
GUCAAUCACCCGGCGGCUGCUUUGAUGUCGAAAGCCUUUGGCUGGGGCUCUCUGGGGCUCUCUCCCUGGCUCGCGCACUUACGAGCGCUCACUCUCUCGGGCGCUCCGUGCCUUUCCCAGCAGAAGCCUCUGGCGCUGCCGUCGCCGGUUUCUCGCCCAGGCAGGGCUGGCUGCUGCUACUUAGUCAAACUUUCCUGGGGCUGGGAGGGAGGGACGAAGCAGACACGGGGAGAAGAGGAGGAGGAGGUGCGGGCUGGUCGCUGCUUUAAUCCCUCCGAUUGUCUCGGUCUCCCCUCGAGUUGCCGGCAGAUUCCCUUAAAAGUAAGGAGAGAGGGCUGCUCUCCUCGAGGGGCGCAGAGACCAGUAGCUGUAUUUCAAAGCGUUCCUCUCCUCCUCUCCACGCCCGGCCUUUAAUAUAUAUCUGUAAAUCCCCCAGUCGCCUUCACCGACCAAGAAGUUCGCUUGUUGGUGGCGUGGCUCGGGCUGGGGGGGUGGGAAAGAAGGAGAGACAAAAUGCCCCAGCUCAACAGCGGCGGAGGCGAUGACUUGGGAGCCAAUGACGAGAUGCUCGCCUUCAAGGACGAAGGCGAGCAAGAGGAGAAGAUCCAGGCCAACGUCUUCACCGAGGGGGAUCUGGCUGACCUCAAGUCAUCGCUGGUGAAUGAGUCCGAAAGCACCGGCGGCGGCGGCGGCGGGGAAGGAGGCGGCGGCGGCGGCGGCACCGGUAGCAGCAGCACCACCAGCAGCCAGACUUCUAACGCCGCGGCCACAGUGGCGACAACAGCAGUAGCCCAUUCCGAGGCCAUCAGGCGCUUGCAGGAUCCUCAGAGGGUCUAUCAGGAGAAACUCCCGGAUCACAUGGAGGAUGGCUUAAAACAUCAGGACCCAGGGAUGUAUAAAGGAUCGUCUUACUCUGGAUACCCUUUCCUAAUGCUCUCAGAUGCUUACCUGCCAAAUGGAUCUAUGUCACCUUUGUCCAACAAGGUUCCUGUAGUGCAGCCGUCCCAUGGUGUCCAUCCACUCACGCCACUCAUCCCAUACAGCAAUGAACAUUUCAGCCAUGGCUCCCAUUCGCCACACCUGCCGGCUGACAUCAACCAGAAACAAGGUGUACACCGUCCUUCUCAAACAUCAGACAUUUCUGGUUUCUAUUCCCUCCCUCCUAGUGGAGUUGGACAGAUAACACCUUCUAUGGGAUGGCAGAGCCAGCCUGUCUGUCCUUUCCAGUCAUGUGGAUUUAGACAGCCCUAUACGUCAGCGCUCACUGCUGGGGCUUCUUUCUCUAGGAUCACACAUCCCUUGAUGCUCGGCUCUGGAAUGCACACCACAGGAAUCCCGCACCCGGGUAUCACAUCUCCCUCUGGGAAACAAGAGUUUGACCAUUACGACCGGAGCAUGAAAUCACAACCAGAACCAAAGAGAGAGAAGGAAGCCAAGAAGCCUACCAUCAAGAAGCCUCUGAACGCUUUCAUGCUGUAUAUGAAAGAGAUGCGGGGGACAGUCAUUGCUGAGUGCACCUUGAAAGAAAGUGCAGCCAUCAAUCAGAUAUUAGGAAGGCGGUGGCACGCGCUGUCACGGGAGGAACAAGCCAAGUACUAUGAACUGGCCCGCAAGGAAAGGCAGCUCCACAUGCAGCUCUACCCCGGCUGGUCUGCAAGAGAUAACUACUCUUCUUCAGGCUCUUCGUCCCGUGAUCACACAAAGUUUAACUCAGGGCCCCUGGAAUUCAGCAGCACCUCGGGGCCGGUUUCUGCGGCAAGGGGGAAAAAGAAAAGACGAACAAGAGAAAAACAGCAAGACUCCAACUCAGGUAAAUCCACUGGUGCAAACUCCAGUACAUUAUCUGGUAACCAACGCUUUGUUUAUAUUGGUAGGGGAUUAGUUGAGGCAGCUGAACAAUAGCUAUAAUCUUCCUUUGGAUUUGCAUCUGUGGCUUAAUGUGACUGGGGUAAUCCAUAUCUAUGCUAAUACUACCUCCAUUUCAUCUGUAGACUGGGUUGCUAUCUGUGCUUAUAAACUUUAAUCUGUGUUUCAUUUUCAUAUGAGACCUAACCGCUAUUUCUUCUAGCUUUGCUGCUAUCUGCAAUUGUCUCUCCUGUCUGCUCUCCUCUGACAUGAGAAAAGGAAUACUAUUCAGCUCAUUCCUAGUUGCAUUUUGACACAUCAAAUUUAGCCCCUUCUCUUGCCAUUAACUUUUGUGGUUGUUACCGUUGUAGUUUCCCAAUCGCCUAGUUCUCUGCAAAGAUGCAGAAAGCAAAAGGUCUUUAAAAUGCAGUACAGUAGCAAAUUCUUAACCUGCUAUCCAAGAAGGGACUAUUUUGCCAUAAGCUAGAUUUCUAGGGCAGGCAGAAUCCUAACCCACAGUCUUAUACAUCUGAACUGUAUCUUUGGGUGCUAUCAGGCUAAAACAUCUCAUCAGCGCAAGCAUUUCCACUUGUGAAAUACAAGCCCCCGCCCCCAUGCACACUCUCCCCAAAUCUGCUCCACAGGAUUGAGGGGAGCUCCUAGAACAAAGUUAGGGGGCACACAGAGUGGGAGAAAGACCAACUGCACAGGCAGUGCUUUGGAUAGGAGAAGAGAUGGUAAGGGAACAGCUAGCUACAGAUAGAACAGGUGACGUCCCUGUGGACUAGAGGUGGGCAAAUGUUGGCCCCCAUCUUCAAAAAGUGGAAAAAAGAAGGCCCAGGUAACUACUAGCCAGUCACCUUGACAAUACCAGGAAUGUCCUAGAACAGAUAAUUUAACAGUCAGUCUGUGAGCACUUAGAAAAGGAUGCGGGGAUUACUAAGACCCAGCAUGGAUUUCUCAAAAGCAAGUCAUGCAAUACUAGUUUUUUAUUUUUUUUAUGGAGUUACAAGCUUGGUGGAUAAGGGGAAUGCUGUGGACACAGCGUAUCUUGAUUUCAGCAAGGCUUUUGACUAAGUCCCCCAUGAUAUUCUUGCGAGGAAGCCGGUAAGAUGUGGGUUGGGUGAGAUAGCUGUUAGGUAGAUUUGCAGCUGGUUGACUGACCGAACCCAAAGAGUUCUCAGUCAUGGUUCCUCAUCUUUCUGGGAAAAGGUGACAAGUGGGGUGCUGCACUUCUGUCCUGGGCUUGUUGAUGUUCAACAUCUUUAUAAAUGACUGGGAUAGAGGGGUUGCUCGUCAAAUUUGCAAAUGACACCAAACUGGGAGGGGUAGCUAAUGCCGCUGUUCUCCCAGUCACUGCAUUCUUGGCCCUCCUGUGUGAGGUUAGUUUUGGUAUUUGCCUAAACCUGCUUUGUUUCCCAAAGAGAUGCUGCUUCCAGCAGAAACUGGGUUGAUGUGGCCUGUUUAGUUUUGUCUCCAGCUGCUAAAUUGAUGCUGCAUCUUUUCUUCUUCCUCUUCCUCCUGCUCUUGCUGUUUGUGCCUCUGCCUUGCCCAUUCUCCACCACGCAUGCUCCUUCCUCAGAUCCUGCUUCUCCUAAGAAAUGCAGAGCUCGCUUUGGUCUCAACCAACAAAUGGACUGGUGUGGACCGUGCAGAUAACUCUCUUCACUGUUCUUAGGAGGAAAAAGAAGUGCAUUCG